CCCUAGGUGGUGCAAAUGGUUAACGCACUUGGCUCCUAACCAAAAGGAUGAAGGUUUGAGUCCAUCCAGAGGCA
This 74-nucleotide transfer RNA is filed under the name Loxodonta africana (African savanna elephant). It matches the Rfam family "tRNA". Rfam says of the family: Transfer RNA (tRNA) molecules are approximately 80 nucleotides in length. Their secondary structure includes four short double-helical elements and three loops (D, anti-codon, and T loops). Lineage: Eukaryota; Metazoa; Chordata; Mammalia; Proboscidea; Elephantidae. The record is from Rfam by way of RNAcentral.